This 447-nucleotide ribosomal RNA is filed under the name uncultured bacterium. RNAcentral's name for it is "bacterial SSU rRNA". It matches the Rfam family "Bacterial small subunit ribosomal RNA", at positions 355 to 825 of the family's 1533-position model. The record is from RNAcentral.
UCGGGAAUUUUGGGCAAUGGGGGAAACCCUGACCCAGCAACGCCGCGUGAAGGAUGAAGUAUUUCGGUAUGUAAACUUCGAAAGAAUAGGAAGAAUAAAUGACGGUACUAUUUAUAAGGUCCGGCUAACUCCGUGCCAGCAGCCGCGGUAAUACGGAGGGAGCUAGCGUUGUUCGGAAUUACUGGGCGUAAAGCGUACGUAGGCGGUGACUCAAGUCAGAGGUGAAAGCCUGGAGCUCAACUCCAGAACUGCCUUUGAAACUAGGUCGCUAGAAUCACGGAGAGGUGAGUGGAAUUCCGAGUGUAGAGGUGAAAUUCGUAGAUAUUCGGAAGAACACCAGUGGCGAAGGCGGCUCACUGGACGUGUAUUGACGCUGAGGUACGAAAGCGUGGGGAGCAAACAGGAUUAGAUACCCUCGUAGUCCCUGAGCGGGCUGGCAAGGCGCAU